CUGGCCGUUUGGCCCGUGGUGGCAGUUAUGAUGACAGUUUGCUAAGAUGAAAAAGCAGUGUGGGCCGAGGGCUGUCUGUGUUCUUUUGCUGACUGAGCACUAAAAUAUGCCUUUAGGCAAUGCAUUCCAGGUAACACUGGACGUCAGGAGGAUACGACACGAAGGUAGAGUCGCCUCGUGUCUGCUUCUCCUCAGGUGUGUUUCAGUGUGCUCAAAGAAGCGAGAAGAGACUGCCCGAUCCCUCGGUCCUAGAGUUACAGUUAUUUUGAGUCACCAAAUGUCCUCUGGAAAAACAGCCUCAUCAGUUUAGAUGGAGGAAAAUUGGAAUAUGGUUGAGUUUACACAGCUCCAGUGUUCUGCACCAGAUAGAUCUAAACACCGUCUUCGGAAGCUUCUUUCGGCUAUGUAUUUGAAGGGAGAUGUAUGAAGGUGCUACACUAAGGAAAAUGUAAAGCCCACGGCAAGCUUAAAGACUUUAAACUGUGCACAGAAAGGCUCAAAAGCGCUCAACUGAAGCUGGAGUGUGUGUAUGUAAAGAGAAAACUUAACCUUAAGAGAAAUUAAGAAGUUAAGUACCUUCAAAAAGUCUUCAGAAACUCUAAGAGACUAUCAGAUAACCUAAAAACCACCCCUGUCUACUCUACUGCACUGGACAUCACAGAGCCAACUAAG
This is a non-coding RNA of Peromyscus maniculatus bairdii (prairie deer mouse), 672 nucleotides long. Lineage: Eukaryota; Metazoa; Chordata; Mammalia; Rodentia; Cricetidae. The record is from RefSeq and is a predicted model, not a curated record.